CCAAAUGAACUUGCGUUUUGCGCUGAAUGAUAUUUCAAAUGAACCUCACUUUCAAGACUUCCUCCCAAAAGACAGCAUUUGAGCCAUGGUGGAGUUUAUGCUGGUCACGCUAACAGCAGAAGGUACGCAACCAACAAACCAGUUUAAGCGUUCAAUUGUGAAAGAUCUGGCGAAAAAAUCUGCCAAACCAACAAAUUUCCGCAAGAUGAUUCUUUUCCAAAGCUUGCAAAUUUUAAAGGAAAGACAGGCCGAAGUCCGGAAAUGGACGAAUUUGUUAAACUUAAUCUUCGCGAUGUGAUGGAAGGAAAGAAAUUUGGCGAUGUUUUCAGAAAAUCCGAA
Non-coding RNA from Paramuricea clavata, 339 nucleotides. Lineage: Eukaryota; Metazoa; Cnidaria; Anthozoa; Malacalcyonacea; Plexauridae. The record is from the annotation of a GenBank genome assembly.